AGAACGAACGCUGGCGGCAGGCUUAACACAUGCAAGUCGAACGCGUGUAGCAAUACACGAGUGGCGCACGGGUGAGUAACGCGUGGAUAUCUGCCUUUUGGUUCGGAAUAACCCCGGGAAACUGGGGCUAAUACCGGAUGGUUCCUUCGGGAUAAAGAUUUAUCGCCAAAAAGAUGAGUCCGCGUACGAUUAGCUAGUUGGUGAGGUAAUGGCUCACCAAGGCGACGAUCGUUAGCUGGUCUGAGAGGACGAUCAGCCACACUGGGACUGAGACACGGCCCAGACUCCUACGGGAGGCAGCAGUGGGGAAUAUUGGACAAUGGGGGCAACCCUGAUCCAGCCAUGCCGCGUGAGUGAUGAAGGCCUUCGGGUUGUAAAGCUCUUUCACCAUCGACGAAGCCUUCGGGUGACGGUAGGUGGAGAAGAAGCACCGGCAACUACGUGCCAGCAGCCGC
Molecule: ribosomal RNA, 455 nt
Filed under: uncultured bacterium
Lineage: Bacteria
Description: SSU rRNA
Rfam family: Bacterial small subunit ribosomal RNA
Source: RNAcentral